Neomonachus schauinslandi (Hawaiian monk seal) is the source of this 150-nucleotide small nucleolar RNA. Lineage: Eukaryota; Metazoa; Chordata; Mammalia; Carnivora; Phocidae. The record is from RefSeq and is a predicted model, not a curated record.
UUUAUAAAAAAAGAAAAAAAAACGAUACAGAUACUGGUCAAUGAACUCACAAGUGUAAGAAGUGUGCUACAUGAGGGGCAAGGCCUUCACUAACACCACAAGGGUCUCUGGCCCAAUGAAUAGAGUUUGAUAGUAAUUCUUGCUACAAAU